GAUGAACGCUGGCGGCGUGCCUAAUACAUGCAAGUCGAGCGAACAGACGAGGAGCUUGCUCCUCUGACGUUAGCGGCGGACAGGUGAGUAACACGUGGAUAACCUACCUAUAAGACUGGGAUAACUUCGGGAAACCGGAGCUAAUACCGGAUAAUAUAUUGAACCGCAUGGUUCAAUAGUGAAAGACGGUUUUGCUGUCACUUAUAGAUGGAUCCGCGCCGCAUUAGCUAGUUGGUAAGGUAACGGCUUACCAAGGCAACGAUGCGUAGCCGACCUGAGAGGGUGAUCGGCCACACUGGAACUGAGACACGGUCCAGACUCCUACGGGAGGCAGCAGUAGGGAAUCUUCCGCAAUGGGCGAAAGCCUGACGGAGCAACGCCGCGUGAGUGAUGAAGGUCUUCGGAUCGUAAAACUCUGUUAUUAGGGAAGAACAAAUGUGUAAGUAACUAUGCACGUCUUGACGGUACCUAAGCAGAAAGCCACGGCUAACUACGU
Molecule: ribosomal RNA, 496 nt
Filed under: uncultured bacterium
Lineage: Bacteria
Description: partial 16S ribosomal RNA
Rfam family: Bacterial small subunit ribosomal RNA
Source: RNAcentral